AAAAAGGCAAACCCUGGGUUUCCAAGUCCAACUUUAACUGUCCGUCUUAUAUGAAAUUUUUUUUAUAAUUCGUAUUUUUAUUGUUGUUAGAUGAUAAAACAUGAUUAAUACUUUGUGCGUGACUUGUCUUUUUAAUUUUUUUCUUAAUUUUUUCAAAUAAUACGGACGGUCAAACGUUGGGCACGGAAACCAGGGUUUGUCUUUUU
Molecule: non-coding RNA, 206 nt
Organism: Oryza nivara
Lineage: Eukaryota; Viridiplantae; Streptophyta; Magnoliopsida; Poales; Poaceae
Source: Rfam